This 494-nucleotide long non-coding RNA is filed under the name Aquilegia coerulea. RNAcentral's name for it is "long non-coding RNA (ACOE_LNC000499)". Lineage: Eukaryota; Viridiplantae; Streptophyta; Magnoliopsida; Ranunculales; Ranunculaceae. The record is from RNAcentral.
AGUUUAGUAGAAAGAAUGUAAAGUGAUAAACAAAGGAUAUCAUAGAUUCAUAGAUAUAGAUACACCAAAUUAUUUUUCAUUUUUGUCAAUUGACAGUGGAGAGCACAGAACAGCGAUAACCACAAUGCCCUUGUAAUUUCAUUAUUGAGAAGAGAUUGUCAGUCAAACAUGUGAUUAAAAUGAAAUGAAAUAAUUAUCUCCCCAAACAAGAAUCGCAAAUUUACAGUAUCCAUUAAUCUGGUGAAGGUUUCAGAGAGACCAACGGUAGGUGAAACAGUGAUAGAUGCCAUUAUUGGUACCAGAGAAGAAGAUUUGGUAGAAAUAUUAAUACUAUUUCUAUGUUUUUGAGUUGAGAGACGAAAGAGAACGUUGUUGGAUUUGUUUGAUUGCAGAAAGCAGGCUGUUUUCAGAGCAAUGGCCAUUAAAGAUGUCUGCGUUUACUACUACUUGUCACUUGCUUCACUGGUGUGACGAUUGACGAAGAAAGGUGUUUU